GUCACGUACAUCCGAGGGUCG
Molecule: ribosomal RNA, 21 nt
Filed under: Cacopsylla ambigua
Lineage: Eukaryota; Metazoa; Arthropoda; Insecta; Hemiptera; Psyllidae
Also listed under: 1 other name
Description: partial 5.8S ribosomal RNA
Source: RNAcentral